Long non-coding RNA from Trematomus bernacchii (emerald rockcod), 198 nucleotides. RefSeq lists it as uncharacterized. NCBI's taxonomy places the organism in Eukaryota, Metazoa, Chordata, Actinopteri, Perciformes, Nototheniidae. The record is from RefSeq and is a predicted model, not a curated record. The transcript has 3 exons.
AGAAAGCAAAGUUGGAGCUGAAGCAGAGGGCUCCUGCCUCCAAGAAAACCCUGGCAAAGCGACAGGGGGAGGCAGCUCCCAUUGUUGUGGAGGUGAUUUUACGGCCACCUACCAGUAGAGGGACAGUUGCUGUGGAGCAGCAGGAGGAGCCAUUGCCGGGGUUGGAGCCAUUUCCAGGAGUGGAGGCAUUUCCAGGAG